Molecule: ribosomal RNA, 492 nt
Filed under: uncultured bacterium
Lineage: Bacteria
Description: partial 16S ribosomal RNA
Rfam family: Bacterial small subunit ribosomal RNA
Source: RNAcentral
AGUGAACGCUGGCGGUAGGCCUAACACAUGCAAGUCGAACGGCAGCACAGGAAGUGCUUGCUCGUACGGGUGGCGAGGGGCGGCCGGGGGAGGAAUACAUCGGAAGCUAUUUUUUCGCGGGGGAGGACGUAGGGAAACUUACGGUGAUACCGCCUACGCUCUACUGGCGAAUGCAGGGGAUCUUCGGACUUUGCGCGAUUGAAGGAGGCGAUGUCGGAUUAGCUAGUUGGCGGGGUAAAGGGGCAACAAGGCGACGAUCCGUAGCUGGUCUGAGAGGAUGAUCAGCCACACUGGAACUGAGACACGGUCCCGACUCCUACGGGAACCAGCAGCGGGGAAUAUUGGACUAUGAGCGCGAGCCUGAUCCUGCCAUAGCGCGUGCGUGAAGAAGGCGUUCGGGUUGUAAAGCCCUUUUGUUUGGAAAGAAAAGCAACAGAUUUAUUCCCCGCUGUUCUGACGGUACCCAAAGAAUAAGCACCGGCUAACUUCGUG